UACGAAGGGGGCUAGCGUUGCUCGGAAUUACUGGGCGUAAAGGGAGCGUAGGCGGACAUUUAAGUCAGAGGUGAAAUCCCGGAGCUUAACUUCGGAACUGCCUUUGAUACUGGGUGUCUUGAGUGUGAGAGAGGUAUGUGGAACUCCGAGUGUAGAGGUGAAAUUCGUAGAUAUUCGGAAGAACACCAGUGGCGAAGGCGACAUACUGGCUCAUUACUGACGCUGAGGCACGAAAGCGUGGGGAGCAAACAGG
RNAcentral lists this ribosomal RNA (253 nucleotides) under uncultured bacterium. Its description in RNAcentral is "partial 16S ribosomal RNA". It matches the Rfam family "Bacterial small subunit ribosomal RNA", at positions 524 to 776 of the family's 1533-position model. The record is from RNAcentral.